AUUUUCAAAAUUCUAAAAUAUGCGGGUGGCCCGGGGUUCAAUUCCCCGCUCGCCCCAUGCGGGUGGCCCGGGGUUCAAUUCCCCGCUCGCCCC
RNAcentral lists this transfer RNA (93 nucleotides) under Naumovozyma dairenensis CBS 421. RNAcentral's name for it is "tRNA-Pro". Lineage: Eukaryota; Fungi; Ascomycota; Saccharomycetes; Saccharomycetales; Saccharomycetaceae. The record is from RNAcentral.